UACGAAGGGGGCUAGCGUUGCUCGGAAUCACUGGGCGUAAAGGGUGCGUAGGCGGGUCUUUUAAGUCAGGGGUGAAAUCCUGGAGCUCAACUCCAGAACUGCCUUUGAUACUGAAGAUCUUGAGUUCGGGAGAGGUGAGUGGAACUGCGAGUGUAGAGGUGAAAUUCGUAGAUAUCGGGGGAAGACCACGUGGCGAAGGCGGCUCUCUGGGCAGAUACCGACGCUGAGACGCGAAAGCGUGGGAAGCAAACAGG
This 254-nucleotide ribosomal RNA is filed under the name uncultured bacterium. Its description in RNAcentral is "partial 16S ribosomal RNA". It matches the Rfam family "Bacterial small subunit ribosomal RNA", at positions 524 to 776 of the family's 1533-position model. The record is from RNAcentral.